Molecule: ribosomal RNA, 251 nt
Filed under: uncultured soil bacterium
Lineage: Bacteria
Description: partial 16S ribosomal RNA
Rfam family: Bacterial small subunit ribosomal RNA
Source: RNAcentral
AGAACGAACGCUGGCGGCAUGCCUAAUACAUGCAAGUCGAAUGAACACUUCGGUGUUAGUGGCGCACGGGUGCGUAACGCGUGGGAAUCUGCCCUUGGGUUCGGAAUAACAGUUGGAAACGACUGCUAAUACCGGAUGAUAUCGAAAGAUCAAAGAUUUAUCGCCCAGGGAUGAGCCCGCGUAGGAUUAGCUAGUUGGUGAGGUAAAGGCUCACCGAAGGCGACGAUCCUUAGCUGGUCUGAGAGGAUGAU